ACAAUCUGCGUGCACCGCAAUAUACUCGUUGCGCGGAGUGGGUUCUUCACCGCCAAGCUCUCGGACCGUUGGUCCAAUCAGCGGUGGACAUUGUCUCACAUCAACAAGAUCUCCGACUACGACAACGUGGAGAUAGACACGGCGGCGGCUCCGUCCCCUGCUCGACACCUCGCUGGUGCUGACAGACGCACUCUGUGUCGCUGCAGCAGAGCGGCGCCAGACACAAUUCCCCACCUUGGCCGCCCUCACUCUGCUUAACGCCCCCCCUGCUUUUGCAAUGUACAGCAACAACAGGUGGACUAAAUUGCUUGACAUUUAAUGCAGGGAGUUGAUACCAUCCACGUUUGAUACAGGUAGAUGUAUAUCAGCUAUAACUUCUCUUGCCAAUUUAGUAAACAAAUCUGCUAUUUUGAAUACUGUCUUGAGCACUGCAUUGCAGAAUCGUGGGAGAGUUUAGGUUUGAAGCAUCCCCUCAAUCGUACUAUAUCUAUAUCAUCAAGAUCACGGGUGUGUUCUCUCUAAUAUACUUCCGUGUAUAUGCAAGUUUGUGAAUUUCUAAGAGAUACACUUGGUCUACAAUAUUACCAGAUGUAGUAGGAGAUCAUUUUAAAGUGUCAAUGUCAUGAUGCAUUAAUUCGUGAGAAAAUGGUUGCAUCUUCCACUAAUUUCUUGAUAAUGGUUUAUUUGAUUAUUCUUUUUUCAGCAGAACUAAUGUAGAUGUGUUGAAGCAAUCUUGCGUUGCCUGUUAUAGAUUAUCCAUUUUGGUUAUCUCGACUAUGAAGCAUCGAUUUCUGUUCCAUGAUUCCAAAAUUCAUACUUUAUGCAAAGAGGAAAUGUUCCAAUUCCUUGUGGAACUAAGAAAGUUGU
Non-coding RNA from Triticum urartu, 867 nucleotides. The record is from RefSeq and is a predicted model, not a curated record. Lineage: Eukaryota; Viridiplantae; Streptophyta; Magnoliopsida; Poales; Poaceae.